Molecule: ribosomal RNA, 253 nt
Filed under: uncultured bacterium
Lineage: Bacteria
Description: partial 16S ribosomal RNA
Rfam family: Bacterial small subunit ribosomal RNA
Source: RNAcentral
AACGUAGGACACGAGCGUUAUCCGGAGUUACUGGGCGUAAAGGGCGAGUAGGUGGUGCGAUAAGACUGGUGUGAAAGCCUUCGGCUUAACCGAGGGAGGACACUGGUGACUGUCGGACUUGAGGCAGAUAGAGGGGUGUAGAAUUCCGGGUGUAGUGGUGAAAUGCGUUGAGAUCCGGAGGAAUACCAGAGGCGAAGGCGGCACCCUGGGUCUGACCUGACACUGAUCCGCGACAGCAUGGGGAGCGAACGGG